RNAcentral lists this ribosomal RNA (785 nucleotides) under uncultured prokaryote. RNAcentral describes it as "bacterial SSU rRNA". It matches the Rfam family "Bacterial small subunit ribosomal RNA", at positions 683 to 1482 of the family's 1533-position model. The record is from RNAcentral.
GAAAUGCUUAGAUAUCACGAAGAACUCCGAUUGCGAAGNCAGCUUGCUGGACUGUAACUGACGCUGAGGCACGAAAGCGUGGGGAUCAAACAGGAUUAGAUACCCUGGUANNCCACGCCGUAAACGAUGAAUGCUAGCUGUUAGCGAUAUACUGUUAGCGGCACAGAGAAAUCGUUAAGCAUUCCACCUGGGGAGUACGCCGGCAACGGUGAAACUCAAAGGAAUUGACGGGGGCCCGCACAAGCGGAGGAACAUGUGGUUUAAUUCGAUGAUACGCGAGGAACCUUACCUGGGCUUAAAUUGCAGUGGAAUAACGUGGAAACAUGUUAGCCUUCGGGCCGCUGUGAAGGUGCUGCAUGGUUGUCGUCAGCUCGUGCCGUGAGGUGUCGGCUUAAGUGCCAUAACGAGCGCAACCCUCAUCGAUAGUUACUAACAGGUUAAGCUGAGGACUCUAUCGAGACUGCCAGCGUAAGCUGUGAGGAAGGUGUGGAUGACGUCAAAUCAGCACGGCCCUUACGUCCGGGGCGACACACGUGUUACAAUGGGAGGUACAAAGGGCAGCUACCUGGCGACAGGAUGCUAAUCUCUAAAACCUUUCUCAGUUCGGAUUGGAGUCUGCAACUCGACUCCAUGAAGCUGGAUUCGCUAGUAAUCGCGCAUCAGCCAUGGCGCGGUGAAUACGUUCCCGGGCCUUGUACACACCGCCCGUCAAGCCAUGGAAGCUGGGGGUACCUGAAGUAUGCAACCGCAAGGAGCGUCCUAGGGUAAAACCGGUAACUGGGGCU